Molecule: non-coding RNA, 30 nt
Filed under: Mus musculus (house mouse)
Lineage: Eukaryota; Metazoa; Chordata; Mammalia; Rodentia; Muridae
Source: RNAcentral
UGGAGAUGGAUACUCUUGGUGUCCUGUAUC